GCACUGCUGAGGAGUCCCAUAAUAGGACGAAACAGCCGUCCAGUAC
Molecule: non-coding RNA, 46 nt
Organism: Schistosoma mansoni
Lineage: Eukaryota; Metazoa; Platyhelminthes; Trematoda; Strigeidida; Schistosomatidae
Source: Rfam